UACAGAGGUCCCAAGCGUUGUUCGGAUUUAUUGGGCGUAAAGGGUGCGUAGGUGGCAAAGUAAGUUGGAUGUGAAAUCCUGGGGCUCAACCUCAGAAUUGCAUUCAAUACUGCUUAGCUAGAGAGCUGUGGAGGAGACUGGAAUUUACGGUGUAGCAGUGAAAUGCGUAGAUAUCGUAAGGAACGCCAGUGGCGAAAGCGAGUCUCUGGGCAGCAUCUGACACUGAGGCACGAAGGCCAGGGGAGCAAACGGG
This 253-nucleotide ribosomal RNA is filed under the name uncultured bacterium. RNAcentral's name for it is "partial 16S ribosomal RNA". It matches the Rfam family "Bacterial small subunit ribosomal RNA", at positions 524 to 776 of the family's 1533-position model. The record is from RNAcentral.